This 498-nucleotide ribosomal RNA is filed under the name uncultured bacterium. Its description in RNAcentral is "partial 16S ribosomal RNA". It matches the Rfam family "Bacterial small subunit ribosomal RNA", at positions 30 to 523 of the family's 1533-position model. The record is from RNAcentral.
AUUGAACGCUGGCGGCAUGCCUUACACAUGCAAGUCGAACGGUAACAGGUCUUCGGAUGCUGACGAGUGGCGAACGGGUGAGUAAUACAUCGGAACGUGCCUAGUCGUGGGGGAUAACUACUCGAAAGAGUGGCUAAUAACGCAUGAAAUCUACGGAUGAAAGUAGGGGAUCGUAAGACCUUGUGCUACCAGAGCGGCCGAGGGCAGAUUAGGUAGUUGGUGGGAUAAAAGCUUACCAAGCCGAAGAUCUGUAGGUGGUCUGAGAGGACGAUCAGCCACACUGGGACUGAGACACGGCCCAGACUCCUACGGGAGGCAGCAGUGGGGAAUUUUGGGCAAUGGGCGCAAGCCUGAUCCAGCAAUGCCGCGUGCAGGAUGAAGGCCUUCGGGUUGUAAACUGCUUUUGUACGGAACGAAAAGCCCCGGGUUAAUACCCUGGGGUCAUGACGGUACCGUAAGAAUAAGCACCGGCUAACUACGUGCCAGCAGCCGCCGCAG